RNAcentral lists this ribosomal RNA (664 nucleotides) under Bacillus pumilus. RNAcentral describes it as "bacterial SSU rRNA". It matches the Rfam family "Bacterial small subunit ribosomal RNA", at positions 557 to 1221 of the family's 1533-position model. The record is from RNAcentral. Lineage: Bacteria; Bacillati; Bacillota; Bacilli; Caryophanales; Bacillaceae.
GGCGUAGAGGGCUCGCAGGCGGUUUCUUAAGUCUGAUGUGAAAGCCCCCGGCUCAACCGGGGAGGGUCAUUGGAAACUGGGAAACUUGAGUGCAGAAGAGGAGAGUGGAAUUCCACGUGUAGCGGUGAAAUGCGUAGAGAUGUGGAGGAACACCAGUGGCGAAGGCGACUCUCUGGUCUGUAACUGACGCUGAGGAGCGAAAGCGUGGGGAGCGAACAGGAUUAGAUACCCUGGUAGUCCACGCCGUAAACGAUGAGUGCUAAGUGUUAGGGGGUUUCCGCCCCUUAGUGCUGCAGCUAACGCAUUAAGCACUCCGCCUGGGGAGUACGGUCGCAAGACUGAAACUCAAAGGAAUUGACGGGGGCCCGCACAAGCGGUGGAGCAUGUGGUUUAAUUCGAAGCAACGCGAAGAACCUUACCAGGUCUUGACAUCCUCUGACAACCCUAGAGAUAGGGCUUUCCCUUCGGGGACAGAGUGACAGGUGGUGCAUGGUUGUCGUCAGCUCGUGUCGUGAGAUGUUGGGUUAAGUCCCGCAACGAGCGCAACCCUUGAUCUUAGUUGCCAGCAUUCAGUUGGGCACUCUGAGGUGACUGCCGGUGACAAACCGGAGGAAGGUGGGGAUGACGUCAAAUCAUCAUGCCCCUUAUGACCUGGGCUACACAC